ACAUCAGGCAAUCGCUGGUCGUAAGGCUAGAGGAAAGUCCAUGCUCGCACCAUCUGUGAUGAUGGUAGUGAUUAUGCUGAAUGAAAAAAUAAAUUCAGGCAGGUAAAACUGACGGCAGAGUUAAUCCUAAGGCUUAGGCUAUGGAAGCGCUCUUGAAAGUGCCACAGUGACGUAGUCUCAUUGGAAACAUUGAGAGUGGAACGCGGUAAACCCCAUAAGCGAGAAACCCAAAUAUGGUAGGGGAACUUUGAGGGCCGAAUAGAAGGCUCAAAGAGACAGCAAUGUAGAUAAAUGAUUGCCACUGGAAACAGGACAGAACAUGGCUUAUACGA
RNAcentral lists this RNase P RNA (332 nucleotides) under Ignavibacteria bacterium. RNAcentral's name for it is "RNase P RNA component class B". It matches the Rfam family "Bacterial RNase P class B". From Rfam's summary of the family: Ribonuclease P (RNase P) is a ubiquitous endoribonuclease, found in archaea, bacteria and eukarya as well as chloroplasts and mitochondria. Its best characterised activity is the generation of mature 5'-ends of tRNAs by cleaving the 5'-leader elements of precursor-tRNAs. The record is from RNAcentral. Lineage: Bacteria; Pseudomonadati; Ignavibacteriota; Ignavibacteria.